RNAcentral lists this microRNA precursor (64 nucleotides) under Myotis lucifugus (little brown bat). Its description in RNAcentral is "mir-9242 microRNA precursor family". It matches the Rfam family "mir-9242 microRNA precursor family". Lineage: Eukaryota; Metazoa; Chordata; Mammalia; Chiroptera; Vespertilionidae. The record is from Rfam by way of RNAcentral.
GGUCUCCCUCUCUGGGGCAAUCGAUCGUGAGGCUCCCAGAUCGAUUGCCCUGCAGAGGGAGGCC